GUGAGUAUUUUGAGGGUGGUUAAAGGCAAUAUGUUUUCUUUACUGUAAAACAUUUUUUUAAAAAAAUUUAAGCAUUCACCAUAUAUUUUGAUCACACUUUACAUGUUGUGAACACAGUCCUAAUAAUGUGACCGAUUUUAACCACUUAAAAGAAAAAAUAGUUUAAGUCACUCUAAUGUUUGUGAGUAUGGGGACUCAGAGUGGAGCUGCAAUUACUUAGUUGAUUUUCAUGGACCAACAUCAGAGAUAUUAUACAUAAAAUAUCUAGUGCAGCUCCUGGCACAUAGAGACUGUGUGAUUACUUGUAGCUAAUAUUAUAUUUGAUUGGACAGAUUUUACCAUCUUUUAUAAGUUAUAAAUAAAAAGACUAACGUUACAGUUUCCUGCCUUUGAGCAUCCCACCCAUGAAGCAUAGUCUGAGAAAUACUUAAUGUUAGCGUACAAGUCCCCAUUACCUGUUUUGAAUAUUUACUUUUCAGAAUACCUACUUUAUUAAGCACUGUACAUGUUUGGGCCAAUUUAUUUUAACAAGUUAAAUGCACAGCGACAGGUCUGAUGGAGGACACUUUGCUAUCAACGAAUGAUGAGAAAUAAUACUUAGUUUUAUAUUAUGGUAAAAUGUACACAAAGUUUAUCAUUUUAACUAUUUUAGCAGUGCAGUAUAGUCAGCGGCCUUAAUUACAUUAACAUUGUUACUUACAGGUUUUGAAUUUUUCUAUAUUUCAAAAUGUUUUGCUCAGUUUUCCUUUUUUAGUCACAAGAGUGACAUCUUAACUUGAUAACAGAAAGGAGAAAACUCUCACUUUUGCAAUUCUAGUUUCUACUCAAACUGAGUCAAAGUUAUGGCUAACAAUUCCUAUGUGUCAUUGAGAACUGCUUAAGAAUUUGUCGGAAUUUGAAUGUAAAUUUCCUUUGCUUAACAGCUUUUCUUACAGAGAACACACUAAGGAAAAAAGUUUUAAGUUGGGAUAGAAUAAUGAGGCGGUUGAAAUUAUACUUUAGCUAUGAUUAAAUUACUUAAUAGAUACAGAAAAAUACUGCAUAUGGGUAAAUUUGAAAGAAAGUAUGGAAUAUUAUAAAGUUAAUGUAGAUAAAACACAUUCUUCAGUUGAAUAAACAUUUUUACAAGAGUUGAUAUAUACAAGGCACUUUGCUAAGUACUAUGGGAGUUACAAAGAUAGACAAGAUGUGGAUUUAAUCUCAUUGGAGAACCUAACGCAGAUCAGGGUAAGGUUGCAGAAGAUUGCACUUAGAACAGCACAAAGAUGAACAAUUUAAUUUAACUGGAGAUUUACAAAUCUGUUAAUGGUAAACUUUUUAUUUAAUUAUCUUUUAUAUAAAAUAAUUCGAGAUUAUAGAUUAAAAAGAAAAUAUGUUGAAACUCUUAAUUCUCUUCUUUGUUGAAAAGCUAUUCCUUGCUUUAUAUUUUGAAAUUCCUUUUCAUUUUGAGGAUUUGAUUUGUUUCAAUAAAUCAAAAGAUUAAAAUAAGCUUUCUGGGAUAGGAAGUAGUACACUACAAUUACAGAAUUUAGAACAAAUUAUUUUUCAAUACUUUGUACAUUACAGUUCCAAUAAAGAACAGUGACUGCUCUCAUCAUCUAUUUAUUUAUGUUCCUUUGGAGAAAUUCUUUCUCUGAGAUUUCUGCACUGAAGUGUAAUUUGUAAUUUAAAAAUAAGGCAUGUUACUCAAACUGCAUUCCUUCUUUCCUUGUAUCUCUUCUCUUCUUUCCAUCUUAAUUCUGUUUUUCAAAGGCUUCCUCUGCUUAUCUGUCAUGUUCUCCUUUCCCAAAUACUAUUCUUUUUAUAAAAUACUCCAUAUAGCUACCAUCUGCUUCCUCCUCUACUUUUUGUAAUGUUCCUGACUGAAACUGCUUAUGCACAGAAUCAUAAGCUUUUAGAACUCAAAGAUAUUUCAUGGUAAAUAUCUUCAUAAUGGUAUAAGAUUUAUUACUCUUAACUGUUACUAUACAUUUUUAGAUUUUUCUCUCAGAAUUGUCUUCUCCUGGAGGUCCCUACAAUUAUUUGAAGAAUAUAAGAUUAAUGUUUAUUGAAAUUAUCUCUCUUUAGGAUAACUUUUUCUAUGUUGUACUGUUAUAAGAACUAGGAAUUUUUAACCUUACCUCUCAAGCUACUCCUAAUUUUCUUUCAUUAUAUUUGCUCUUGUGAUCUAUAUUUUGCUUCAAUGAAUCCUCCCACCAGUCCAUUACUGUUUUCCUUUUUAUUCUCAUAGCAAAACCUAUGUUAAGUGAUUUUUUUUUUGUACUGGGGAUCGAACUCAGGUCCUUGCACUUGCACAGCAGGCGGCGAAACCACUGAGCUAAAUCCCUGGCCCCUGUUAAGUGAUUUUUUUCAAGGAAGCUGAUUGUAAGAUGUUGGAUCUAAUCCAGUCUCUAGCAUUGGUAAAUAGUGGUUAAACCGAAAUGAAAGCCAAUUAACUUCAUAACUGUUGCCUGCUUUCAUGUUGCUCUUCUUUGCUUUCCCUUCCCCUCUUUUCUUUUUUACUGAGCACUGCUGUAUGCGACCACACGUCAGGCCAACUCCUGGACAGACAGUGGACGUAGCACACGGUCUCUGCUCCCAUGAGCCCAACAGCUGGAUUGCGGACAUAGCAGGGAUUGUUCCAUUUGCCAUUCCACCAACAGUGUAUAAGAACUAUUUCUGUGGAGCCAGACUCUGCCUGGUCUCCUGGGAGCCCUGAGGACCAGGACAACCUCCUGCCCCUGGAGCACUGAUGAUCAUGAGGAUCCCACAGACUUCAGACACUAAGGUGGAUAUUAUGGGGGUGGAGAAAAGGAUUUUACAAGCUGUACUGUAUGAGCUUCAUGUGCUGCUGAGCCAGAAAAUGUGCUCCAGGAGGUUGAAACAGCAAGUGCUAGAUAUGCAAGGCAAGCACAACAACUUCUGGAGAGUCUGGGCUGGAAACAAGUUGGAAACCUGCUUCUCAGAAGCCAUGAAGAGGAGAAACAGAGAAGAGUGGGCCAAGGGCAGCAGAGAAGCAGCCCCUCAAGGUGAUUAUAGACCUGGAGCUCAGUCACGAAUGUCUGUAUCUAUUCCAAUCCUACCUCCUCAAAUGGGUCCAGCAGAGGAAAGGUCUGGUGCAGUUGGAUUGUCUGAAGCU
Molecule: long non-coding RNA, 3118 nt
Filed under: Heterocephalus glaber (naked mole-rat)
Lineage: Eukaryota; Metazoa; Chordata; Mammalia; Rodentia; Bathyergidae
Description: lncRNA (ENSHGLG00100035964.1)
Source: RNAcentral